RNAcentral lists this ribosomal RNA (425 nucleotides) under uncultured rumen bacterium. Its description in RNAcentral is "bacterial SSU rRNA". It matches the Rfam family "Bacterial small subunit ribosomal RNA", at positions 354 to 776 of the family's 1533-position model. The record is from RNAcentral.
GUGGGGAAUAUUGGACAAUGGCCGGAAGGCUGAUCCAGCCAUGCCGCGUGCGGGAAGACGGCCCUAUGGGUUGUAAACCGCUUUUGUUGGGGAGCAAUAAGGUCCACGUGUGGAUUGAUGAGAGUACCCAGCGAAUAAGCAUCGGCUAACUCCGUGCCAGCAGCCGCGGUAAUACGGAGGAUGCAAGCGUUAUCCGGAUUUAUUGGGUUUAAAGGGUGCGUAGGCGGAUUUUUAAGCGUGAGGUGAAAUGCCCGGGCUCAACCUGGGAACUGCCUCGCGAACUGGAAGUCUGGAAUGUCCGUGCCGUGGGAGGAAUGUGUGGUGUAGCGGUGAAAUGCAUAGAGAUCACACAGAACACCGAUUGCGAAGGCAUCUCACGAACGGAUGAUUGACGCUGAGGCACGAAAGCGUGGGGAUCAAACAGG